UUAAUGAUAUCGACAAGUGCCCCCGGUGCAAAUCUUGGUGGUAGUAGAAAAUAUUCAAAUCAAAACAUUGAAUAUGGAAGUGGGGAAAGGUUCCAUGUGAACAACACUUGGACAUGGGUUAGUCGAUCCUAAGAUAUGGGGAAGCCCUAUAACAAGGGUGCAUUCUGCAUGAUCAUCGAAAUGGAAUCAAGUUAAUAUUCAUGAAUGAAGACAUAGCGAUUGACAAAAAUGCUAGGAAAUCCAUAGACGUUGUCGAGGGCCCCAAGAAAAGUUAUCUUUUAUUUUUAACGACUUUCCUGCCAUGAAAUCAGUUCAAAUGGAGAUAGGGUCUAGCUGCUGGAAGAGCACCACACGUCUUGUAGUGUCUAGUGCCCCUCCACAACUAUUGAAAAUAUGGAGGACCAAGUAUUGUGCAUGCACGAUCGUACUCAUAACUGCAUUAGGUCUCCAAGUUUAACAACCUUUUUUCAAUAGAACAAUGUAGGUAAGGGAAGUGGAGUGCAACUUCAAGACUCUUUGGAGAUUAUUGAGUUAGGCCGACUUUGUUUGUUUUUGGGACUUCAAAUUUAUCAAACCUUUAUUUGUAUUCCCCUUUCUUAGCCUCUUUACACCCAAAAUCUCUUGCAAGAUUUUGUGAUGGAUAAUUGCAAGCCAAUGAGUACCCCUAUUUCUUCAAGGAUGAAGUUGAGAGUUGAGAGUUUUCUUUAUCUUAAAAAUUCUCAGCUAGAUAUCUACUUUGCAAUGAGUAUGUCUUCUCAAUACAUGUAGGAACCUUAGGGAGUUAGUAGCAUUCCACUCUUAGGGGCACCUCUCACAUGAGAAUUCUCGACUCAACGAACACUUAUAUAUGUAUCCUUGGUUUUUUCAAUGCCUAGUAGGUUAACGAUCUUGAUGGGAGAAGAUAUACCUCGGUCUAACUUUUUCCUCUUGGCCCUGGACCAAUUUGUUAGUGCUCUAAGAAGCAAUAGGUUGUGAGUCUCUUCUCCACUAAAUACAACUAUGCUAGUGUAGUUCAUGUUGGGAAGCAUAUUCCUUGGAUACAGAUGAUUCUUGAUCAACUAGGUCUUCCUCCAUGAAUUCAUUCCACCAUUUUGACAAUCAAAGUACCAUUGAGCUUAUUCAUAAUCUAAUGAAUCAUGAGAAGAAAAACCAUAUGGAGAUUUGGAUGCACUAUACUUUGCAACCUCAUGUUGAAGGACAACUUGUGCCAUUGUUUGUUCCUUUAGUAGAUCAACAAGUAGAUAUAUUCACCAAAUAUCUUCUAGAGCCCACCUUCACCAAUUUAAUGGCAUGCAUUAGUAUAGGAGCAAUGCCAUUAAGGGGGAAACCAUGAUGUACUAUAAUGUCUUCUCUUUGUGGCCCCCUUUUUCAGAUUAAGGGGGGUGCUGAUAUUAGGUGGUUAAUAUUGAGGUGACGCAACGUGUUGAGCUCUUGUAUUGAUGUCUUUAUGGACACUACACACGGGUAACUAACCCAUUUAUUGUGCUUUUCUAUUUUAUCUAAGGCUAACCUAGUCAACCUCUUGGGUUUAGCACCCCAACCCUAAAGAAUGUGUGUAUAUAUACAAUGCAUUCAUCAUUUCUAAUCAUCUCGUUCAAAUGAAUAUAUCAUUUAUUUGUUCCCUAAGAUCACCCCUAAAAAUUUCACUCUACUCAUGGUUAAUUGUUAUCAGUUAUGGUAAAACUCUUGUGAACACUAUGGUAUGAGUACAUCUCUUUUGUGAUUAAAUUAAGUGGUAUUUUAAAUAUACUAUUUUUACUUCCUAAAUUAGGUUUUGUUUAAGUUUUCAUCGAAUAUAUAAUAUAUCCUUUUGAUCUCAACAAAUAUAAGUAAUUGCCUCUGAUUUGUGCACUUGAACAAGGGAUCAUUCUUGACUUUGUGUAAUUUAUAAACUUAGUUAAAAAACAAUUCUUCACUUGCACCACAACAACAACCAAUUAUUUCUCUAUUAGUAUAACAUUUUAUAAAAAUACAACUCAUAAUCAUGUUCAUGUAAAUCCUUGAUUUUCACUAUUCACACAUGAUUACACUAUGCUCACGACAAUUUUUCAAUAUUUCUAACCCUACUAGAUCAUGGAAAUUUUUUUUAAGUGUUAUGGACUUUCAUAACUUCUCCUUCAUGUGUAUUCUUGGGAAUCCAACUAUUUAAUUAAAAAAAAACAUUGUGAUGGUCCCUGUGGAUGCUGACAGAAUGUGAUUUUUUCCCAUUGCUUUGAAUGUCAAAGUGAAGAAAUUCAGCCAAGAGUGGGUAAAAAAAGGGAGUAACGAUGACUCUAUUAAGGUAUCGGAAUUCCUCUUCAUCUAAUUAUUGACGUGAAUGAAUGGAUUAAUGAGAUUCACACUCUCCCUAUAUACUAUCUAGUGAAACCACAACCAAGGGAACAAUAUUGAAAAAAUAGU
This is a non-coding RNA of Picea glauca (white spruce), 2400 nucleotides long. The record is from Rfam. Lineage: Eukaryota; Viridiplantae; Streptophyta; Pinopsida; Pinales; Pinaceae.